Molecule: ribosomal RNA, 253 nt
Filed under: uncultured bacterium
Lineage: Bacteria
Description: partial 16S ribosomal RNA
Rfam family: Bacterial small subunit ribosomal RNA
Source: RNAcentral
UACGUAGGGGGCAAGCGUUGUCCGGAUUUAUUGGGCGUAAAGAGCGUGUAGGCGGCCAUGCAGGUCCGCUGUGAAAACUGGAGGCUUAACCUCCAGCGGUCGGUGGAAACCGCAUGGCUAGAGUCCGGAAGAGGAGAGUGGAAUUCCCGGUGUAGCGGUGAAAUGCGCAGAUAUCGGGAAGAACACCCGUGGCGAAGGCGGCUCUCUGGGACGGUACUGACGCUGAGGGGCGAAAGUGUGGGGAGCGAACAGG